Molecule: ribosomal RNA, 775 nt
Filed under: uncultured archaeon
Lineage: Archaea
Description: bacterial SSU rRNA
Rfam family: Archaeal small subunit ribosomal RNA
Source: RNAcentral
CUGCCGGACCCCACUGCUAUCGGGAUAGGACUAAGACAUGCUAGUUGAGCGCUUCCAGCCAAAACGGGAGCGCAGCGCACAGCUCAGUAACACGUGGCUAAUCUGCCCUUGGGACCGGAACACCCCCGGGAAACUGGGGCUAAUUCUCGAUAGGUGAAGAACUCUGGAAUGAGUCUUUGCCAAAAAGACGUUUACGUUAUGCUCGUAGGCGUCGCCCAAGGAUGAGGCCGCGACCGAUCAGGUUGUUGGUGAGGUAAUGGCUCACCAAGCCUUUUACCGGUGCGGGCCGUGAGAGCGGGAGCCCGGAGAUGGGCACUGAGACAAGGGCCCAGGCCCUACGGGGCGCAGCAGUCGCGAAAACUUUGCAAUACACGAAAGUGUGACAGGGCUAUCCCGAGUGCCAUCCGCUGAGGAAGGCUUUUACCCAGUCUAGAAUGCUGGGGGAAUAAGGAGAGGGCAAGUCUGGUGUCAGCCGCCGCGGUAAUACCAGCUCUCCGAGUGGUGUGGAUGUUUAUUGGGCCUAAAGCAUCCGUAGCUGGCUGAGUUAGUCCCUUGUUAAAUCCACCGAAUUAAUCGUUGGAUUGCGGGGGAUACUGCUCGGCUAGGGGACGAGAGAGGCAGACGGUAUUUCUGGGGUAGGGGUGAAAUCCUAUAAUCCCAGGAGGACCACCAGUGGCGAAAGCUGUCUGCUAGAACGCGCCCGACGGUGAGGGAUGAAAGCUGGGGGAGCGAACCGGGAUUAGAUACCCGGGUAGUCCCAGCUGUAAACGAUGCA